RNAcentral lists this microRNA precursor (87 nucleotides) under Tupaia belangeri chinensis (Chinese tree shrew). Its description in RNAcentral is "Tupaia chinensis (Chinese tree shrew) mir-7 microRNA precursor family". It matches the Rfam family "mir-7 microRNA precursor family". Rfam says of the family: This family represents the microRNA (miRNA) precursor mir-7. In this case the mature sequence comes from the 5' arm of the precursor. Lineage: Eukaryota; Metazoa; Chordata; Mammalia; Scandentia; Tupaiidae. The record is from Rfam by way of RNAcentral.
UGGUCCGGUGCUGUGUGGAAGACUAGUGAUUUUGUUGUUCUGAUAUGUGAUGACAACAAGUCACAGCCGGCCUCACGGCGUGGACCC